CGAACGCUGGCGGCAGGCCUAACACAUGCAAGUCGAGCGCGCCCUUCGGGGUGAGCGGCGGACGGGUUAGUAACGCGUGGGAAUAUACCCGACACUAAGGAAUAGCCUCUGGAAACGGAGAGUAAUACCUUAUACGCCCUUCGGGGGAAAGAUUUAUCGGUGACGGAUUAGCCCGCGUUAGAUUAGAUAGUUGGUGGGGUAAUGGCCUACCAAGUCUACGAUCUAUAGCUGGUUUUAGAGGAUGAUCAGCAACACUGGGACUGAGACACGGCCCAGACUCCUACGGGAGGCAGCAGUGGGGAAUCUUGGACAAUGGGCGCAAGCCUGAUCCAGCCAUGCCGCGUGAGUGAUGAAGGCCUUAGGGUCGUAAAGCUCUUUCGCCAGAGAUGAUAAUGACAGUAUCUGGUAAAGAAACCCCGGCUAACUCCGUGCCAGCAGCCGCGGUAAUACGGAGGGGGUUAGCGUUGUUCGGAAUUACUGGGCGUAAAGCGCGCGUAGGCGGAUUAGUAAGUUAGAGGUGAAAUCCCGGGGCUCAACCCCGGAACUGCCUUUAAUACUGCUAGUCUUGAGUUCGAGAGAGGUGAGUGGAAUUCCGAGUGUAGAGGUGAAUUUCGUAAAUAUUCGGAGGAAUACCAGUGGCGAAGGCGGCUCACUGGCUCGAUACUGAC
Molecule: ribosomal RNA, 668 nt
Filed under: uncultured bacterium
Lineage: Bacteria
Description: bacterial SSU rRNA
Rfam family: Bacterial small subunit ribosomal RNA
Source: RNAcentral